UCGUAGGUGCUCGACUGGCGCGGGGUCCACUGCUGCUGGGUGGGCGGCCCGUACGCGUCGCGCAGCUGUUCGACCCGGCCCUGCGCC
This 87-nucleotide transfer RNA is filed under the name Streptomyces griseoviridis. RNAcentral describes it as "tRNA-Ser". Lineage: Bacteria; Bacillati; Actinomycetota; Actinomycetes; Kitasatosporales; Streptomycetaceae. RNAcentral also lists the same sequence under 1 other name. The record is from RNAcentral.